GGGGAAUAUUGGACAAUGGGCGAAAGCCUGAUCCAGCAAUGCCGCGUGAGUGAUGAAGGCCUUAGGGUUGUAAAGCUCUUUUACCAGGGAUGAUAAUGACAGUACCUGGAGAAUAAGCUCCGGCUAACUCCGUGCCAGCAGCCGCGGUAAUACGGAGGGAGCUAGCGUUGUUCGGAAUUACUGGGCGUAAAGCGCACGUAGGCGGCCAUUCAAGUCAGAGGUGAAAGCCCGGGGCUCAACCCCGGAACUGCCUUUGAAACUAGAUGGCUUGAAUCUUGGAGAGGCGAGUGGAAUUCCGAGUGUAGAGGUGAAAUUCGUAGAUAUUCGGAAGAACACCAGUGGCGAAGGCGACUCGCUGGACAAGUAUUGACGCUGAGGUGCGAAAGCGUGGGGAGCAAAC
This 400-nucleotide ribosomal RNA is filed under the name uncultured bacterium. RNAcentral describes it as "bacterial SSU rRNA". It matches the Rfam family "Bacterial small subunit ribosomal RNA", at positions 356 to 773 of the family's 1533-position model. The record is from RNAcentral.